CCUACGGGUGACAGCAGUGAGGAAUAUUGGUCAAUGGGCUUACGCCUGAACCAGCCAAGUCGCGUGAGGGAAGACUGCCCUAUGGGUUGUAAACCUCUUUUGUCAGGGAGCAAUUGGCGCUACGUGUAGCGUUAUCGAGAGUACCUGAAGAAAAAGCAUCGGCAAACUCCGUGCCAGCAGCCGCGGUAAUACGGAGGAUGCGAGCGUUAUCCGGAUUUAUUGGGUUUAAAGGGUGCGUAGGCGGAAUGCCAAGUCAGCGGUAAAAUCGCGGGGCUCAACCUCGCUCCGACGUUGAAACUGGCGUGCUUGAGUGGGCGAGAAGUAUGCGGAAUGCGUGGUGGAGCGGUGAAAUGCAUAGAGAUCAUACAGAACACCGAUUGCGAAGGCAGCUUAUCAAGCUACUUCUGACGUUGAGGCACGAAAGCGUGGGGAGCAAACAGGAUUAGAUACCCUGGUAGUC
RNAcentral lists this ribosomal RNA (460 nucleotides) under uncultured bacterium. RNAcentral's name for it is "partial 16S ribosomal RNA". It matches the Rfam family "Bacterial small subunit ribosomal RNA", at positions 338 to 795 of the family's 1533-position model. The record is from RNAcentral.